AGAGUUUGAUCCUGGCUCAGGACGAACGCUGGCGGCGUGCCUAAUACAUGCAAGUAGAACGCUGAGGACUGGUGCUUGCACCGGUUCAAGGAGUUGCGAACGGGUGAGUAACGCGUAGGUAACCUACCUCAUAGCGGGGGAUAACUAUUGGAAACGAUAGCUAAUACCGCAUGACAAUGGAGGACCCAUGUCUUUCACUUAAAAGGUGCAACUGCAUCACUAUGAGAUGGACCUGCGUUGUAUUAGCUAGUUGGUGAGGUAACGGCUCACCAAGGCGACGAUACAUAGCCGACCUGAGAGGGUGAACGGCCACACUGGGACUGAGACACGGCCCAGACUCCUACGGGAGGCAGCAGUAGGGAAUCUUCGGCAAUGGACGGAAGUCUGACCGAGCAACGCCGCGUGAGUGAAGAAGGUUUUCGGAUCGUAAAGCUCUGUUGUUAGAGAAGAAUGAUGGUGGGAGUGGAAAAUCCACCAUGUGACGGUAACUAACCAGAAAGGGACGGCUAACUACGUGCCAGCAGCCGCGGUAAUACGUAGGUCCCGAGCGUUGUCCGGAUUUAUUGGGCGUAAAGCGAGCGCAGGCGGUUCUUUAAGUCUGAAGUUAAAGGCAGUGGCUCAACCACUGUACGCUUUGGAAACUGGAGAACUUGAGUGCAGAAGGGGAGAGUGGAAUUCCAUGUGUAGCGGUGAAAUGCGUAGAUAUAUGGAGGAACACCGGUGGCGAAAGCGGCUCUCUGGUCUGUAACUGACGCUGAGGCUCGAAAGCGUGGGGAGCAAACAGGAUUAGAUACCCUGGUAGUCC
This 805-nucleotide ribosomal RNA is filed under the name uncultured bacterium. RNAcentral's name for it is "bacterial SSU rRNA". It matches the Rfam family "Bacterial small subunit ribosomal RNA", at positions 8 to 796 of the family's 1533-position model. The record is from RNAcentral.